RNAcentral lists this ribosomal RNA (1147 nucleotides) under Lactiplantibacillus plantarum. Its description in RNAcentral is "bacterial SSU rRNA". It matches the Rfam family "Bacterial small subunit ribosomal RNA", at positions 56 to 1170 of the family's 1533-position model. Lineage: Bacteria; Bacillati; Bacillota; Bacilli; Lactobacillales; Lactobacillaceae. The record is from RNAcentral.
UGCAAGUCGAACGAACUCUGGUAUUGAUUGGUGCUUGCAUCAUGAUUUACAUUUGAGUGAGUGGCGAACUGGUGAGUAACACGUGGGAAACCUGCCCAGAAGCGGGGGAUAACACCUGGAAACAGAUGCUAAUACCGCAUAACAACUUGGACCGCAUGGUCCGAGCUUGAAAGAUGGCUUCGGCUAUCACUUUUGGAUGGUCCCGCGGCGUAUUAGCUAGAUGGUGGGGUAACGGCUCACCAUGGCAAUGAUACGUAGCCGACCUGAGAGGGUAAUCGGCCACAUUGGGACUGAGACACGGCCCAAACUCCUACGGGAGGCAGCAGUAGGGAAUCUUCCACAAUGGACGAAAGUCUGAUGGAGCAACGCCGCGUGAGUGAAGAAGGGUUUCGGCUCGUAAAACUCUGUUGUUAAAGAAGAACAUAUCUGAGAGUAACUGUUCAGGUAUUGACGGUAUUUAACCAGAAAGCCACGGCUAACUACGUGCCAGCAGCCGCGGUAAUACGUAGGUGGCAAGCGUUGUCCGGAUUUAUUGGGCGUAAAGCGAGCGCAGGCGGUUUUUUAAGUCUGAUGUGAAAGCCUUCGGCUCAACCGAAGAAGUGCAUCGGAAACUGGGAAACUUGAGUGCAGAAGAGGACAGUGGAACUCCAUGUGUAGCGGUGAAAUGCGUAGAUAUAUGGAAGAACACCAGUGGCGAAGGCGGCUGUCUGGUCUGUAACUGACGCUGAGGCUCGAAAGUAUGGGUAGCAAACAGGAUUAGAUACCCUGGUAGUCCAUACCGUAAACGAUGAAUGCUAAGUGUUGGAGGGUUUCCGCCCUUCAGUGCUGCAGCUAACGCAUUAAGCAUUCCGCCUGGGGAGUACGGCCGCAAGGCUGAAACUCAAAGGAAUUGACGGGGGCCCGCACAAGCGGUGGAGCAUGUGGUUUAAUUCGAAGCUACGCGAAGAACCUUACCAGGUCUUGACAUACUAUGCAAAUCUAAGAGAUUAGACGUUCCCUUCGGGGACAUGGAUACAGGUGGUGCAUGGUUGUCGUCAGCUCGUGUCGUGAGAUGUUGGGUUAAGUCCCGCAACGAGCGCAACCCUUAUUAUCAGUUGCCAGCAUUAAGUUGGGCACUCUGGUGAGACUGCCGGUGACAACCGGAGAA